GGGCUCGUAGCUCAGUCUGGCAGAGCACCGGCCUUUUAAGCCGGUAGUCGCGGGUUCAAAUCCCGUCGAGCCCA
This 74-nucleotide transfer RNA is filed under the name Candidatus Nanohaloarchaea archaeon. RNAcentral's name for it is "tRNA-Lys". It matches the Rfam family "tRNA". From Rfam's summary of the family: Transfer RNA (tRNA) molecules are approximately 80 nucleotides in length. Their secondary structure includes four short double-helical elements and three loops (D, anti-codon, and T loops). Lineage: Archaea; Methanobacteriati; Methanobacteriota; Candidatus Nanohaloarchaea. RNAcentral also lists the same sequence under 2 other names. The record is from RNAcentral.